Molecule: transfer RNA, 72 nt
Filed under: Ornithorhynchus anatinus (platypus)
Lineage: Eukaryota; Metazoa; Chordata; Mammalia; Monotremata; Ornithorhynchidae
Rfam family: tRNA
About the family: Transfer RNA (tRNA) molecules are approximately 80 nucleotides in length. Their secondary structure includes four short double-helical elements and three loops (D, anti-codon, and T loops). Further hydrogen bonds mediate the characteristic L-shaped molecular structure. tRNAs have two regions of fundamental functional importance: the anti-codon, which is responsible for specific mRNA codon recognition, and the 3' end, to which the tRNAs corresponding amino acid is attached (by aminoacyl-tRNA synthetases). tRNAs cope with the degeneracy of the genetic code in two manners: having more than one tRNA (with a specific anti-codon) for a particular amino acid; and 'wobble' base-pairing, i.e. permitting non-standard base-pairing at the 3rd anti-codon position.
Source: Rfam by way of RNAcentral
AGCAGUGGAGUUUAGUGGAAAGAGCCUGGUCUUGGGAGUCAGAGGUCAUGAGUUUGAAUCUCAGCUCUGCCA